GAUGAACGCUGGCGGCGUGCCUAAUACAUGCAAGUCGAGCGAACAGACGAGGAGCUUGCUCCUUCGACGUUAGCGGCGGACGGGUGAGUAACACGUAGGUAACCUACCUAUAAGACUGGGAUAACUUCGGGAAACUGGAGCUAAUACCGGAUAAUAUUUCGAACCGCAUGGUUCGAUAGUGAAAGAUGGCUUUGCUAUCACUUAUAGAUGGACCUGCGCCGUAUUAGCUAGUUGGUAAGGUAACGGCUUACCAAGGCAACGAUACGUAGCCGACCUGAGAGGGUGAUCGGCCACACUGGAACUGAGACACGGUCCAGACUCCUACGGGAGGCAGCAGUAGGGAAUCUUCCGCAAUGGGCGAAAGCCUGACGGAGCAACGCCGCGUGAGUGAUGAAGGUCUUCGGAUCGUAAAACUCUGUUAUUAGGGAAGAACAAACGUGUAAGUAACUGUGCACGUCUUGACGGUACCUAAUCAGAAAGCCACGGCUAACUACGUG
RNAcentral lists this ribosomal RNA (497 nucleotides) under uncultured bacterium. RNAcentral describes it as "partial 16S ribosomal RNA". It matches the Rfam family "Bacterial small subunit ribosomal RNA", at positions 28 to 507 of the family's 1533-position model. The record is from RNAcentral.